CCUCAAAUCAGGUGGGACUACCCGCUGAACUUAAGCAUAUCAAUAAGCGGAGGAAAAGAAACUAACUAGGAUUCCCUUAGUAACGGCGAGUGAAGAGGGACUAGCCCAAAUUUGUAAUCUGGCUCUUUCAGAGUCCGAGUUGUAAUCUCGAGAACAGUUUUCCGUGUUGGACCUUGUAUAAGUCUGUUGGAAUAUAGCUUCGUAGAGGGUGAGAAUCCCGUACAUAACAAGGACUACCAAUGCUUUGUGAUACUGUCUCUAAGAGUCGAGUUGUUUGGGAAUGCAGCUCAAAUUGGGUGGUAAAUUCCAUCUAAGGCUAAAUAUUGGCGAGAGACCGAUAGCGAACAAGUACCGUGAGGGAAAGAUGAAAAGCACUUUGGAAAGAGAGUUAACAGUACGUGAAAUUGUUAAAAGGGAAACGAUUGAAGUCAGUCUUGUAGCUUUUCGUUCAACCGCAAGGUGUAUUCGGAUUGCAACAGGCCAGCAUCAAUUUUUGGUGUCGGAUAAGGGUAUUGGAAACGUAGCAAUCUCGGUUGUGUUAUAGUCCUUUACUUGAUACGAUGCUAGGGAUUGAGGAACGCAGUGAGCCUUUUGGCGGGUCUUUGGACCUUCUCACUUUGGAUGCUGGCGUAAU
RNAcentral lists this ribosomal RNA (634 nucleotides) under uncultured Basidiomycota. RNAcentral's name for it is "LSU rRNA". It matches the Rfam family "Eukaryotic large subunit ribosomal RNA", at positions 1 to 635 of the family's 3401-position model. Lineage: Eukaryota; Fungi; Basidiomycota. The record is from RNAcentral.